AACUGUAUGGUCUUGGGCAAAACUGUACCGAAAUGGCAUUCUUCUUCCUCUACGUUGGUUGCCAUUACCCCACUGUCCAUCCACGCUCUGCAAGCACUUCACGAACCCGUGCCGCCACAUCAAUGGCAUCGUUCAGGGGAGGGUAGCUCCACGAACUUACAUCUUCUAGUCCAGUGAAAGGGCGGACAGCACCUCUUUCAUGCAGCCUGUUGUGAAAAUCCGAGAAUUUCCACCUGCAGUGCUCAGUUCCAACAACAUAAACAGCUCACCCAGUGCUACAUGCCUCACUUAGCAUACUAAUUGAGUCUGCUGUUAUGACAAAAGCAUCAGCCCAUGCAAGAUGCCCAAGGUGUGGGUUGGGUCCUGCAUCAAGAAAACUGGCUGAGAAAACUUUCGUAGAGCACAUAAAGAUGAGUACAUCAGACAUGUCCUACCUUAUGUGGUGUUCUUCUGGAAAAUGAAACCCUGACACUUCCACAGGUCUUCAGAACAUUGUGUAGUGAGCUUAUCAACUUCUUGGCAAGGCCUACAUCAGGGAUGGAUUUACUUGUUGGUCCUCCAAUGUUCACUACAACCAAUGGCUUUGGUGAGUUAGCAAGUUCAUCAUGCCAAUCAGAAGCAGCAGUGCGUAAUGCAGCAGAAUCUGCUUGGUGAAGUGCGCCAACAGUAAGGACCUGGCUUUCCAAUUUUCAGGGUGGUUCUCGUGCAGUAAUCCAUCUCCAGAGAAGGUGAGGGAAUUCCCGUUGUCCUCUUGUAGUCAAAGCAUAGUAAUCAUGACGAGGAGUUACCACCAAAUCAAACCUAUCAAGGCGAUACCUGGGAUAAUUCUACCUGUAUGACAAAGACAUUAUCUGGAGCCAAACACCUUAUUGAACUUGCAUAUGAUAUGGUAUCUCGUCCACAAGCGACAACUACGAUGGGAUCUUACUUCUCAAAGGUAUCAUUGACCAUGGUAACUAUCCUUUUGGUAUCUGCUUCUAGGACAGAAGAUAAUCCAAGGGACUGGCCAUUACAGACAGUAUAUUGAGCCAUUUUUGCCCCUUGAAAUAGUGUUGCAAAUUUGUUACUAGAAAACAUCUGUCUGAGUACUUGGUCCACUAACUUAUGCAAGGAGAUCGGGAGGAAGUGCAGCCACUUGUUGAUUCCUCCUGGGAGGCAGGGUUUACGUAAAGCGUGAGGCGGUCGGCGAGGCCGAGGGCGCGGAGGAGGCCGAGGCACUGGUUCUCGGCGCCCGCGCAGCCGUUCCCGAUGACGACGGCGCGCCGCACGGAGCCGCGGGCCCCUGUGCCGCCCGCGAAGAUCUCCGGCGCGCCCGCCGGCCCGCCCCCGCCCCCGCCCAGCGGCUCCAUCGGCCGCGUCG
This 1360-nucleotide small RNA is filed under the name Oryza sativa Japonica Group (Japanese rice). RNAcentral's name for it is "sRNA Os04g0413950". Lineage: Eukaryota; Viridiplantae; Streptophyta; Magnoliopsida; Poales; Poaceae. The record is from RNAcentral.